AUUGAACGCUGGCGGCAGGCCUAACACAUGCAAGUCGAGCGGAUGAAGGGAGCUUGCUCCUGGAUUCAGCGGCGGACGGGUGAGUAAUGCCUAGGAAUCUGCCUGGUAGUGGGGGAUAACGUCCGGAAACGGGCGCUAAUACCGCAUACGUCCUAAGGGAGAAAGUGGGGGAUCUUCGGACCUCACGCUAUCAGAUGAGCCUAGGUCGGAUUAGCUAGUUGGUGGGGUAAAGGCCUACCAAGGCGACGAUCCGUAACUGGUCUGAGAGGAUGAUCAGUCACACUGGAACUGAGACACGGUCCAGACUCCUACGGGAGGCAGCAGUGGGGAAUAUUGGACAAUGGGCGAAAGCCUGAUCCAGCCAUGCCGCGUGUGUGAAGAAGGUCUUCGGAUUGUAAAGCACUUUAAGUUGGGAGGAAGGGCAGUAAGUUAAUACCUUGCUGUUUUGACGUUACCAACAGAGUAAGCACCGGCUAACUUCGUG
This 484-nucleotide ribosomal RNA is filed under the name uncultured bacterium. RNAcentral's name for it is "partial 16S ribosomal RNA". It matches the Rfam family "Bacterial small subunit ribosomal RNA", at positions 30 to 507 of the family's 1533-position model. The record is from RNAcentral.